RNAcentral lists this ribosomal RNA (754 nucleotides) under Lactobacillus sp. RNAcentral describes it as "bacterial SSU rRNA". It matches the Rfam family "Bacterial small subunit ribosomal RNA", at positions 43 to 760 of the family's 1533-position model. The record is from RNAcentral. Lineage: Bacteria; Bacillati; Bacillota; Bacilli; Lactobacillales; Lactobacillaceae.
CGUGCCUAAUACAUGCAAGUCGAACGAGGUUUAACUGGAUUGAGUUCUUCGGAAUAAUUUCUUUUGAACCGAGUGGCGGACGGGUGAGUAACACGUGGGUAACCUGCCCUCAAGCAGGGGAUAACAUUUGGAAACAGAUGCUAAUACCGUAUAAUCCCAGAGACCGCAUGGUCUCUGGUUGAAAGGCGGCUUUCGAGCUGUCACUUGAGGAUGGACCCGCGGCGCAUUAGCUAGUUGGUGAGGUAAAGGCCCACCAAGGCAGUGAUGCGUAGCCGACCUGAGAGGGUGAUCGGCCACAUUGGGACUGAGACACGGCCCAAACUCCUACGGGAGGCAGCAGUAGGGAAUCUUCCACAAUGGACGAAAGUCUGAUGGAGCAACGCCGCGUGAGUGAAGAAGGUUUUCGGAUCGUAAAACUCUGUUGUUGGAGAAGAACGUGUGUGAGAGUAACUGUUCAUGCAGUGACGGUAUCCAACCAGAAAGCCACGGCUAACUACGUGCCAGCAGCCGCGGUAAUACGUAGGUGGCAAGCGUUAUCCGGAUUUAUUGGGCGUAAAGCGAGCGCAGGCGGUUUCUUAAGUCUGAUGUGAAAGCCUUCGGCUUAACCGAAGAAGUGCAUCGGAAACUGGGAAACUUGAGUGCAGAAGAGGACAGUGGAACUCCAUGUGUAGCGGUGAAAUGCGUAGAUAUAUGGAAGAACACCAGUGGCGAAGGCGGCUGUCUGGUCUGUAACUGACGCUGAGGCUUCGAAAGC